Long non-coding RNA from Cuculus canorus (common cuckoo), 964 nucleotides. RefSeq lists it as uncharacterized. The transcript is spliced from 3 exons. The record is from RefSeq and is a predicted model, not a curated record. Lineage: Eukaryota; Metazoa; Chordata; Aves; Cuculiformes; Cuculidae.
AGCAAAACUGCUCACCUGCAAACAUAACAUCCAGCCACCUCUAGCAUCUCCCUGGAUGGCAAGGGCUGUAUCAAGGCUGCAACAGAAGCCCAUGGCUUGGGGUUGCCCUACAGUUUUUUGCACACCAGACCUGUGUCAUCCAUAGUAAGUGAUUGGGAAGGGUGCAGCUGACCUACAGUGGCUAAAUACUUAUAUUCUACCUGGGGAAAACUGACUGAACAAAAUAAAGGAAUAAGUCAUCCAAGGCCUGCUUCAGGGUGGCAGAUCUGCUGGAGUUGCCAAAUUUCAACACGCAGUUGAAUUCACCAUUGAGGCAAACUCUUCCCUCAGGCAGAUGCCAGGAUAUACGUUGACCGUGGAGUACUGUGUGUCGAUCACGGGAAUGACCAGAUUGUCUGUGUGAAACCUGUGCUGCCUGGAGCCUCUGCAGAUCCAUGUUUUAAGGUAUUUAAAUGGAUACUGGAUUUGUGUAAAUCUUCUGUAGAAGGUGAGUUUCCCCAUCAGUAAGUGGGAUUCAUGCUGUCUCUUGCCUGAUGCAAACAAGAUAAGCAGUAUGAUGUGGUUUCUAAACCUCCUGCAAAUGGAGACUCCUGGCCCUAUCCCCCACUAAGCAAUGUGGUCUGAACAACAGAUAAAACAUAUACGUAUCGCUGGCAGAAUUCCCCCCUCAUUCAGUCCCGACUUCUUCAGAUCUUACACAGAUCUUACAUCUACUUAAAGUCACUCAUGGCUUAUCCUGGAAAGAUUUCAGAGGUGUUUCCCAAAUCAUUCUGUAACGUCCCAACUUGCUGAAAGGAAUACAUACCUAUGGAAGGGAAAUCCUGAGUAAAAUUAAGCUUUUCAGGAAACAUUUAGACAGCAGGUAGCAGGUAACUUGAAAAUGAUGAGCUAGUAGCCUGCUCCUGCUCACAAUAGCUGUUCCUGGGAGGCAACGCAGAGAGAUGAGAUUAGCUGCCACCCUUUG